AAGUCGUAACAAGGUUUCCGUAGGUGAACCUGCGGAAGGAUCAUUAACAACAUAUCCUAACUUAAAAACCCUGUGAACUUUCAACCCCAAACUGCUUGAUCCCAGUACCUCAGCAAUCUCUGGUAAAUCAUAGUGAACAGCUUUGAUUCGGAGACCUCUGAAUAACCUUGGGCGGUCGCGGUUGGUAAGGCAAGUGACCCGGUACCCUCAAGACCAGUGUUCAAUGAUCCAAACGUUCUGUCAGUGUGCGUUUGAUUUGCAAGGGUGGCGCAGUAAACGAUCGCUGGAGGCCGACACGGCCGGCGACUGGGUCAGCGAGCUCUGCUCCCACUGUUACUACUUACAAGAUUUCCCAAUUAGUGAAAGCUAUUGGGCUAUAACUAAACGACUGUUAACAAUGGAUAUCUCGAUUCUC
This 415-nucleotide unclassified non-coding RNA is filed under the name fungal sp. RNAcentral describes it as "partial internal transcribed spacer region". The stretch from base 1 to 46 matches the Rfam family "Eukaryotic small subunit ribosomal RNA", at positions 1786 to 1831 of the family's 1831-position model. Lineage: Eukaryota; Fungi. The record is from RNAcentral.